AAAGUCUGACCUGCCCAAUGAAGGAAUUUAAAUGGCUGCGGUAUAAUGACCGUACAAAGGUAGCAUAAUAAUUAGGUUUUUAAUUGAAACCUGGUAUGAAGGGUUGAACGAGAAAAAAGCUGUCUCAAUUAUAAAUUUAAUUAGAAUUUUAUUUUUAAGUUAAAAAGCUUAAAUAAUUUUAAAAGACGAGAAGACCCUAUAGAGUUUUAUAUUAAUUUUUAUAUUAAAUUUUUAGAAUAAUUUUAUUUAAAAUAAUAAUUUAAUAUUUAGUUGGGGUGAUUAAAAAAUUUAAGGAACUUUUUUAAUUUUAGUUCAUUGAUAUAUGUGUAUAUGAUCCA
This 338-nucleotide ribosomal RNA is filed under the name Hammondantus psammophilus. RNAcentral describes it as "partial 16S ribosomal RNA". The record is from RNAcentral. Lineage: Eukaryota; Metazoa; Arthropoda; Insecta; Coleoptera; Scarabaeidae.